This 72-nucleotide transfer RNA is filed under the name Bos taurus (domestic cattle). It matches the Rfam family "tRNA". From Rfam's summary of the family: Transfer RNA (tRNA) molecules are approximately 80 nucleotides in length. Their secondary structure includes four short double-helical elements and three loops (D, anti-codon, and T loops). The record is from Rfam by way of RNAcentral. Lineage: Eukaryota; Metazoa; Chordata; Mammalia; Artiodactyla; Bovidae. RNAcentral also lists the same sequence under 4 other names.
UCCCUACUAUCUCAGUUGGUAAAGAAUCUGCCUGCAAUGCAGGAGACCUGGGUUCAAUCCCUGGUUUGGGAA